This 500-nucleotide ribosomal RNA is filed under the name uncultured bacterium. Its description in RNAcentral is "partial 16S ribosomal RNA". It matches the Rfam family "Bacterial small subunit ribosomal RNA", at positions 30 to 523 of the family's 1533-position model. The record is from RNAcentral.
AUUGAACGCUGGCGGAAUGCUUUACACAUGCAAGUCGAACGGCAGCACGGACUUCGGUCUGGUGGCGAGUGGCGAACGGGUGAGUAAUGUAUCGGAACGUGCCCAGUCGUGGGGGAUAACGUAGUGAAAAUUACGCUAAUACCGCAUACGAUCUAUGGAUGAAAGCGGGGGAUCGCAAGACCUCGCGCGAUUGGAGCGGCCGAUAUCAGAUUAGGUAGUUGGGGGGGUAAAGGCCCACCAAGCCAACGAUCUGUAGCUGGUCUGAGAGGACGACCAGCCACACUGGAACUGAGACACGGUCCGGACUCCUACGGGAGGCAGCAGUGGGGAAUUUUGGACAAUGGGCGAAAGCCUGAUCCAGCCAUUCCGCGUGCAGGAUGAAGGCCCUCGGGUUGUAAACUGCUUUUGUACAGAACGAAAAGGUUUCUACUAAUAUUAGGAGCUCAUGACGGUACUGUAAGAAUAAGCACCGGCUAACUACGUGCCAGCCGCCGCGGUAA